This 1170-nucleotide small RNA is filed under the name Drosophila pseudoobscura pseudoobscura. Its description in RNAcentral is "GA26190". Lineage: Eukaryota; Metazoa; Arthropoda; Insecta; Diptera; Drosophilidae. The record is from RNAcentral.
UAAACUGAUCUACCGUAAAAAUACAAAUAAAAAAAACGACCACUGAAGCCCGCUUUAUUUAAACGGCGCGAGGUAAACCACUAAUCAGUAUAAUGUAUAAGUGCCAGUUCAUACACAGAACAUGUCUCAAACGGGAUUGUAUCCCAGGGUCAUCGGCUCUGGCUCUCUAAGCGGCCCAAGGCUUAGCCUUCACUUUCGCGUAUCCUGCGCCGCUCUGGUGAUUUUCCCACUUUAAAUCAGAUGGCGCGUGAGCCCUCUUUUUGAACCGGGCCGCCGCAGUGCCCUUACCCAGUUGGGUGUUGUCGGAUCAAAACUGCAUCCAUGAUCGCGUGCAUCGCGCCAGCAGCUGGUACAUUAUUCAUUUAUCUGCAGUUUUGUACGACGUACGACGUACAUGCUUCGCAGGUGCCUACAUUACCGACAUCGUCUUCCCUCCUGAACCAUGCUGUACCUUAUAGGCUUUGACCGGCUUCCUCUAUUGGCCGAGACCCUCUCUGGCCACAAACUGCUAAGCCGCGAUCCCCUCCCGUUACACUGCCAGGUUGCCCCCUCCAGUGGCCAGUAAUACCUCUUGCGAGCCCGUGGAUACCGAUAUGCCCAUCAUGACCGGCCGACAUCGCGAACUCCCCGCCGGCUCCUGCGCAAGGGACAACGAUGCCGUGCGCCCCUCGGCUCAUGAUUCCUGUCGCGGGAGGCUGUGGCCUUAGCGUCUUGCUACUGCCAUGGCCCAUUCUGAUUUUUUCCGCUGGACUGUGGCAGCCACUGGCUGUCCUGCUGCGGCCAUAGCCGUAAUACCGCUGCUUUGUCACUGAGUCGAAAAUGUGGCGGGUAAGCUUUCCUGCAGCCCCCCAUUCAUACCCCACCGAAUCAAACGCUGGGCUUUAGCUUCGAGACGCAUUACCAAUGAACCAUACGCUUUGUCGCAAACCGAGUCGUGUCUAAUUUCCCCCGCCGUACAGACUCCUAUCAAAGUAUCUCAGCCACACAGAAUCGUUGUGUGCAUCUUUGCAAGAUUCGAAUCCAACAAGCCAUCGUUAUCCUUCGACCUGGCCAUCGACAACAAGGACUUUGACUACGGCAAUCAAGGGAGGAGCUACGCGGGCUACUAGACUCUAGAUAGAUCUCGUUUUUGUUAGGUUUAAGGGUAUACGCGUACCUAUAUUUAGAUAG